Molecule: ribosomal RNA, 254 nt
Filed under: uncultured bacterium
Lineage: Bacteria
Description: partial 16S ribosomal RNA
Rfam family: Bacterial small subunit ribosomal RNA
Source: RNAcentral
UACGAAGGGGGCUAGCGUUGCUCGGAAUCACUGGGCGUAAAGAGCUCGUAGGCGGCUUGUUGCGUCGACUGUGAAAACCCGCGGCUCAACCGUGUGGUCUGCAGUCGAUACGGGCAGGCUGGAGUUCGGUAGGGGAGACUGGAAUUCCUGGUGUAGCGGUGAAAUGCGCAGAUAUCAGGAGGAACACCGGUGGGGAAGGCGGCGUGCUGGACCCCAUCUGACGCUGAGGCGCGAAAGCCAGGGGAGCAAACGGG